This 876-nucleotide ribosomal RNA is filed under the name uncultured archaeon. Its description in RNAcentral is "bacterial SSU rRNA". It matches the Rfam family "Archaeal small subunit ribosomal RNA", at positions 1 to 879 of the family's 1478-position model. The record is from RNAcentral.
UUCCGGUUGAUCCUGCCGGAGGCCAUUGCUAUUGGAAUCCGAUUUAGCCAUGCUAGUCGCACGAGUUCAGACUCGUGGCGAAUAGCUCAGUAACACGUGGCCAAACUACCCUUCGGAGCUCCAUACCCUCGGGAAACUGAGGCUAAUAGAGCAUACCACAAUCCAGCUGGAAUGAGGAUUGUGCCAAACGCUCCGGCGCCGAAGGAUGUGGCUGCGGCCGAUUAGGUAGACGGUGGGGUAACGGCCCACCGUGCCAAUAAUCGGUACGGGUCAUGAGAGUGAGAACCCGGAGACGGAAUCUGAGACAAGAUUCCGGGCCCUACGGGGCGCAGCAGGCGCGAAACCUUUACACUGCACGCCAGUGCGAUAAGGGGAUUCCAAGUGCGUAGGCAUAGAGCCUACGCUUUUGUCCACCGUAGGGAGGUGGACGAAUAAGGGCUGGGCAAGACCGGUGCCAGCCGCCGCGGUAAUACCGGCAGCCCGAGUGAUGGCCGAUCUUAUUGGGCCUAAAGCGUCCGUAGCUGGCCGCACAAGUCCAUCGGAAAAUCCACCCGCUCAACGGGUGGGCGUCCGGUGGAAACUGUGUGGCUUGGGACCGGAAGGCGCGACGGGUACGUCCGGGGUAGGAGUGAAAUCCUGUAAUCCUGGACGGACCGCCGAUGGCGAAAGCACGUCGCGAAGACGGAUCCGACAGUGAGGGACGAAAGCUAGGGUCUCGAACCGGAUUAGAUACCCGGGUAGUCCUAGCCGUAAACAAUGCCUGUUAGGUGUGGCUCCCACUACGAGUGGGUGCUGUGCCGUAGGGAAGCCGCUAAACAGGCCGCCUGGGAAGUACGUCCGCAAGGAUGAAACUUAAAGGAAUUGGCGGGGGAGCAC